CCUCCUUCAGCAAAUUCUACCGGCGUGCACCACCACAACCGGCUAUUCUAUUUUCUCCUGUUAUUUUUUUCUCUCACAAGCCUACAUAUAUUUUUAAAUGUAGUGUAAACUUAUAGAGGUUUUUCUUUAUCUGGAUCUGUCUUUAUCAUCUUGGAAGUGCUGAGUCUAAACCCCAGAAGCACCGGGACAGUAUGAGCAUAUGGAAGCUGCUCCGAUGCCUCUCAGUGGUCAGAUGUGAGAGAGAAAACAGCCAGAGGCAUCUGGAAGAAUCUACAGCACAGAGAGAAAGAAGAAGACUGAACAUGAACAGCAGAUUGGACCUAGCCAGGGAUAUCUGCCCUGUUGAGCUCAUUUCUAGGGUUUGGGACUGCCUUGAAGUUUGAGAAACUGAGCUUCCUGUGGACCUGACAGACUGGACUUUCCCGAUCUCAUCUGCCCUCAGAAGUUAAGCAUGGUUGAGCCUGAUGCGUUUGUGGCUAGAAGUCAUGUGACAUGUUGUAGCCAAUAGAUGAAGCCAACAGAUGAAUCACUCACUGUGUGACUCAUCCAGGAAAAGUUAUAAAAAGUAAUGGAUGCACUCAAGCCUUCUUGCUGGUUUGGUUCUUCUUUCUUCCUUUUGAAUGCUGAUGCCAUGCCUGGAGGAGCAGCAGCCAUCUUGAGACCUAAGAAGAAAGAAGAAAUUAGAUGGAGUCUGAGUUCUUGAAGGUGUUCCUAGGCUGCUACAUCAGACUUGAGCUGCCUACUCUGGACUUGCAGUACUGAUAGUAAACUCCUAUAUGUUAAAACUACUGCCAUCACAGUUCCUUACUGAAGGCAUCCUGGAUGCUAUACUAUACAAGUACCCCACAAUAUAUGUUCCCACUGACUUUUUAUGUAUUUCCCAACUACUUUAUUUUGUUUUACUCUGGAAAUUAUUAGUCAAAGGGAAGGUGGGAUUAUGGGAGGUAUUUUUGUUUGUUUUCUUUUGUUUUUUUGGCUCUGGAUGUGUCUGUCAUUCAUGGCAUAGAGGUGUGUUGUUGUAACCACAGGUGAGUUAGGAUGACUUACAGCCCACUUAAGGAGCUAAGUCUGUUACUGCCCAUUAAGAGUGACCAUGUACAGAAUGGGUCCACAUGAAGAGAUGUCUGUGAUCUGAGCUUUACAGAAAAUCUGAGGAGGGAAAAUGACAGACAAAAGAAGGGUCUGAAACUGCUCUUGCCUAUGUAGCUUCUGCCAGGGGCUCCUUGUUCUCUGGGGCUACAAAGCCUAGCCCAAGCUCUGCCAACCACCACACAACCGGCAUUUAGGAUGGAUACCUCUUUGCAGUAGGAGAUACCCUGCACAUAGUAGGAUGUUUAGCAGCAAUCCAGGAGCCUACCCACUGGAUGACAGUAAAUCUUCUGCUUCUGGGUUAUAACAAUUAAAAUGUCUCCAAACGUUGCCAUAUUCUUCCUGGGGGAAAGGAACAAAAACUGGCUCCAGUUGAGAAGCAACUGGCAUAAGAAACAGCCCAAUUACAAAAAAAAAAAAAAAAAAAGAGUGAAAAUGCUGGUUCUGUU
Molecule: long non-coding RNA, 1538 nt
Filed under: Cricetulus griseus (Chinese hamster)
Lineage: Eukaryota; Metazoa; Chordata; Mammalia; Rodentia; Cricetidae
Description: lncRNA (ENSCGRG00015032932.1)
Source: RNAcentral